This 419-nucleotide ribosomal RNA is filed under the name uncultured prokaryote. RNAcentral's name for it is "bacterial SSU rRNA". It matches the Rfam family "Bacterial small subunit ribosomal RNA", at positions 338 to 774 of the family's 1533-position model. The record is from RNAcentral.
CCUACGGGUGGCAGCGGUGGGGAAUAUUGCACAAUGGACGAAAGUCUGAUGCAGCAACGCCGCGUGGAGGAUGACACAUUUCGGUGCGUAAACUCCUUUUAUAUGGGAAGAUAAUGACGGUACCAUAUGAAUAAGCACCGGCUAACUCCGUGCCAGCAGCCGCGGUAAUACGGAGGGUGCAAGCGUUACUCGGAAUCACUGGGGGUAAAGCGCGUGUAGGCGGGUAGUUAAGGCAGAAGUGAAAUCCAAUAGCUCAACUAUUGAACUGCUUUUGAAACUGAUUACCUAGAAUAUGGGAGAGGUAGAUGGAAUUUCUGGUGUAGGGGUAAAAUCCGUAGAGAUCAGAAGGAAUACCGAUUGCGAAGGCGAUCUACUGGAACAUUAUUGACGCUGAGACGCGAAAGCGUGGGGAGCAAACA